GAUGAACGCUGGCGGCGUGCUUAACACAUGCAAGUCGAACGAAGCGCUUUGAAACAAUCCUUCGGGUGCGUUUCUUAGUGACUUAGUGGCGGACGGGUGAGUAACGCGUGGGUAACCUGCCUCAUGCAGGGGGAUAACAGUUAGAAAUGACUGCUAAUACCGCAUAAGCGCACAGUACCGCAUGGUACAGUGUGAAAAGNUUUAUCAGCAUGAGAUGGACCCCGCGUCUGAUUAGCUAGUUGGUGAGGUAACGGCCCACCAAGGCGACGAUCAGUAGCCGACUUGAGAGAGUGAUCGGCCACAUUGGGACUGAGACACGGCCAAACUCCUAGGGAGCAGCAGUGGGAAUAUGCACAAUGGGGGAAACCCUGACCCAGCAACGCGCGUGAAGGAAGAAGGUCUU
Molecule: ribosomal RNA, 403 nt
Filed under: uncultured bacterium
Lineage: Bacteria
Description: bacterial SSU rRNA
Rfam family: Bacterial small subunit ribosomal RNA
Source: RNAcentral